Molecule: non-coding RNA, 167 nt
Organism: Podospora conica
Lineage: Eukaryota; Fungi; Ascomycota; Sordariomycetes; Sordariales; Podosporaceae
Source: the annotation of a GenBank genome assembly
GGGCCGCUGGUCUAGUGGUAUGAUUCUCGUGAGUAUUCCCUCAUCAACUUCGGCUGUCCAUAUUGUGGAUGCACAUCGAGUCAUCAACUAACAACAACAAAUAGGCUUAGGGUUCACCCUAAAGUACACAUUGCGAGAGGUCCCGGGUUCAAUCCCCGGGUGGCCCC